GAUUUCUUAUAUUGUGAACGAGUUAAAGUGAGUGGUCGCUCGAGAUUAGAGGUCCGGAGUUAUGCUAAUUCCUUUCGAGUUACUUUGGCUCCAUCUGCUGUAAUCCCGGAGAUAGCAAAAUUCAAGUUUGUUUUCACCGGAAUGCUUCGCUUGGAUUAUGUCAUUGUGAGAAGGAUGAGUGGAAAUCUAUUCAAAAGGGUCUGUGGAGAUCUAUCAUGUCUCCUUACGGGGG
This 232-nucleotide unclassified non-coding RNA is filed under the name Hevea brasiliensis (rubber tree). The record is from RNAcentral. Lineage: Eukaryota; Viridiplantae; Streptophyta; Magnoliopsida; Malpighiales; Euphorbiaceae.